This 6774-nucleotide long non-coding RNA is filed under the name Homo sapiens (human). RNAcentral's name for it is "HSALNT0335819". The record is from RNAcentral. Lineage: Eukaryota; Metazoa; Chordata; Mammalia; Primates; Hominidae.
ACUAGCGCGGCGGCCGCCGGCCCGCAAUGGUGCUACCCUGGUUGCUGCUCGAGACUGCGCGCAGGGCGGUCCUCGGGUCCGCGGAGGCUGCGCUCUGCGCACCAACUUUUAUCUGUGGAUGCAGCUACAGGGACCCAGCAUUAACACAGCUUACCCCCAGCCCCACCUACCUAUUUUAACUGUUGCCAUGAAAAUGACAGAUGAAAAUAGAAAAGUGUGGCUGGUCUGAAGUGGAUGAAGUAGGUGAAGCUCUACAGAUGAAUCCAAGAGACUUCAAAGAGAAGUACAAUGAAGUAAAACCAUCCAAAUCUGACAGCUAGUGUUUUCUUAUUUAGCCGGAGUGAGAAGCAAGAAGGCCCUGGACACAGCAAUAUCUCUGGGCUUUCACAGGUGUGUAGAUGAAUGAAAAAAUGGAUUGAUAAAUGUAUAAUCCAAUGUUUCAUAUAUAUUACAUUUUUAUAUGUCUAUUUAAGAAUUUCUUGUAAUUACUGUCAGUAAAGGCAGGAUAGCAAAACUAAGAGCCUCUUUUCAUCUUACUCAAUUUAGAGAUAAUAGCGGCCAGGCGUGGUGGCUCACGCCUGUAAUCCCAGCACUUUGGGAGGCCGAGGCAGGUGGAUCACGAGGUCAGGAGAUCAAGACCACCCUGGCCAACAUGGUGAAACCCUGUCACUACUAAAAAUACAAAAAUUAGCUGGGCAUGGUGGCACACUCCUGUAGUCCCAGCUACUUGGAAGGCUAAGGCAGGAGAAUCGCUUGAACCUGGGAAGCGGAGGUUGCAGUGAGCCGAGAUCGCACCACUGCACUCCGAUCUGGCAACAGAGUGAGACUCCAUCUCAAAAAAAAAAUGUUUAUAGCACUAUUUGAUGUAUGUUUUCAGUGCUUAACACUAUGCCAGAGGAUGGAAAGAAUGGGUAACCUGUGAAUUUUCAGAGAAGAAACAAGGAAAUUGAAUUUUUGGAAUACAAGUUGGCUCUUUCCUUGUGUACAUGCAGCCUAGGAUAGUGGAAUGAGCAAAAUAUUAAAAAUCUAGUCCUGGCACCACUGGUUAUGGUAAGGGGAUUUUUGUAUAAGUCAAUUAGUUGUUGAAUCAUUUUCUCAUCUGUAAAUUGAAAAUGGCACUCUCCCCUGAGAUAAUGCAUGUUACUUGCCAUGGAAAUAUAAGGGUCAGGAUUCUAUGAAUUAAUUUUUAAGUAGCUUAGUAUCAUUCAAUAGUAUUCUAAAAUACCAGGUUACUUAUACUACCUACUCAUGUAUGACAUUUGUGUUAGUAUACCUUCUAUUCAUCAAAGGGGCUAUGAGCUAGACCUGCAGAUUAACACGCAGAUGUGGCCUUAAAAAAAAAUCAGUUAAUCUGGGAUCCAGAGAAGUAGGUGAAAUUUGAACAAUGAAAAUACAUUAACAGCUUCUAAAGAUUUAUAGCAGUAUUAUGACCAGCAUGGUAGUGAUGAAAUUUGCAAUUUAAAAAAUUAAAAUUGGGCCAGUUGUGGUGGCUCAUGCCUAUAAUCCCAGCACUUUGGGAGGCCGAGGAGGGUGGAUCAUGAGGUCAGGAGAUCAAGACCAUCCUGGCCAACAUGGUGAAACCACCCCCCGUCUCUACUAAAAUACAAAAAAUCAGCCAGGCAUGGUGGCGGGUGCCUGUAGUCCCAGCUACUCGGGAGGCUGAAGCAGGAGAAUCAUUUGAAUCCGGGAGGCGGAGGUUGCAGUGAGCCAAGAUUGCAUUACUGCACUCCAGCCUGGUGACAGUGUGAGACUCCGUCUCACACACACACACACACACACACAAAAUAAAUAAAUAAAAUAAAAAUUAUUAGUAUGGGGAUAAUCAGAACAGUGGUUGCUGUUCUAGAGGGAAGAAGAUUAACUGGAAAAGGCAAGGAGGGUGGCUCAGGCCUAUAAUCCCAGAACUUUGGGAUGCCUAGGCAGGCAGAUCGCUUGAGCUCAGGAGUUCAAGACCAACCCGGGCAACAUGGUGAAACCCAGUCUCUACAAAAAAAAUACAAAAAAUUAGCCAGGCAUGGUGGCACGUGCCUGUGGUCCCAGCCACUUGGGGGGCUAAAGCAGGAGGAUCCCUUAAACACUGGAAGAUCACACCACUGCACUCCAGCCUGGGUGACAGAGUGAGACCCUGUCUCAGAACAACAACAACAACAAAAUUGAAAAACAAAAAAACAAACAAAAAAGGCAAGGAGAGAACUUUCUAGGGUGAUGGAAAUGUUCUGUAUCUUGACUGAGGUAUUGGUACAUAGGUAUAUACAUUUGUCAAAACACAUUAAACACUUAAAUGUACAUUUUUGGUAAGUGAUUAUACCUCAGUUUAAAAAUAAUGAAAACAGAAAUGCCUAAAUGUAAAUGACUCCCACUAGCAUGGGUAUAUUCCUUUGGAAUGUUAAGUCCUACACUUAAUUAGUGUGCUAAUGCACUGGUGGCAAAAUAAACCUGUUUUCUCUUGUCUGUGCCUCUUUAGACCCAUGUAGUGUAUUUUUAGACUCACUCAUGCAGUCAUUCUUGUAGUACCUAUAAGGACAAUGUCAGAAAUAUAUAUAUUUCUGUCAGUGUGUGUGUGUGUAUAUAUACACAUAUAUGUGUGUGUAUAUAUACACAUAUAUACAUAUGUAUACAUAUACAUAUACAUAUAUACACACACACAUAUAUGAAGGCAAGGAGAGAACUUUCUAGGGUGAUGGAAAUGUUCUGUAUCUUGACUGAGGUCAAGAUAUAUAUAUAUACACACACACACACAUACACAUAUAUAAGAGCCAUAAUCUCAGGGAGAAGGAAAGUUGUAGACAAUGAACCAACAUUGAAGUACUGGGCCCAUCAAGGAACAGGAUUGUGGGUAAAUACAUCAGGCUUUUAGUCGGAAUCCUGAAAAGGCUAUGCCCUAGAAGUAGAGUUGAACCAGAAAUUCACAACCCCCACAAGAACUCAAAACAAGCUUUGAAUCAAUUAAAUCCCUGAAUGAAUUAAGGUGAUCUUCCUAAUAUCUUAAGGGCCUACCAGAAGUAAAUCCUCUCUAGAGAAAGAUACCAUUAUCUAGCUAGAACAGAGGUUGGCAAUAAUCAAUCUUUUAGUCUUGUGGCCAAUUAGGUUUCUGUUGCAACUGCUCAACUCUGCUGUUGCAGCACAAAAGCAGCCACAGACAAUAUAUAAUGUGACUAUUCCAGUAACUCUACUUAUGGCCACUUAGGUUUGAAUUUUAUGUUUCAUGUGUUGCCAAAUAUUAUUCUUCAUUUGAUUAUUUUUCAAUCAUUUAAACAUACAGCAAACAUUCUUAAAGCCAGACAAAAACAGGUAGCAGGUCAGAUUUGGUCCAUGGGGCAUAAUUUGUAGAUCCCUGAGCUACAGCCACAAAUUUUCCUUACAAUUUUUCACAUACAAUUUCACCUUACAAUUUUCACAUACAAUUUCAGGUAUUCUAUCAAAAAUUAAUAGGCACGGCAGUCAAUAGGACCUUAUGAUUGAGAAAUAAUGGAAAAACAAGACAAGAGAAACAAAUCCACAGAAGAUCUACAGAUUGGAGUUUUCAGACACAGACUUUAAAAUAACUGUGAUUAAUAUAUUCAGUAACUUAGAUAACAAAAUUACAGUAACUGAAAUUAAACACCCAAUAGAAGGUAGAUAGGUUUAAUGGCCAAUUAGACACACCUGAUGACAGGAUUAGUGAAAAUGGAAAAAUCAGAGGUACAUGUAUUAACAUGGAUGACUCUUACAAUGUUGAGGGAAAAAAGCAAAUUACAGAAACAUAUACUGUAUAGUUUUUGUUUGUUUGUUUGUUUUUUAAGACAAGCUUUUUCACUGUUACCCAGGCUGAAAUGCAGUGGCAAGAUCACAGCUCAUUGCAACCUAUACCUCCUGGGCUGAAGCAAUCCUCCCACCUCAGCCUCCAGAAUAGCUGGGACUACAGGCACGCACCACCACACCUGGAUAGUUUUUUCACUUUCUGUAGAGACAGGGUCUCGCUAUGUUGCCCAGGUUAGUCUCGAACUCCUAGCCUCAACUGAUCCUACUGCUUCUGCCUCCCAAAGCACUGGAAUUACAGGCAUGAGACACCAUGCCUGGCCAGUAUAGUUUUUAAACAUACAAAAUAUAUUAUUAUUUAGGCAUAUGGACAUAUAUAGUGUAAGUAUAAAUAAAUUAUAAAAAUAUCUACUUCUGAAUGGUUUCUAAUGGGGGAAGGGAGACGAACACAAUAGGCUUUAACAGUAUUGUUGACAAUUUUAUUUAAUAUGUUUGGUAGGUAAGCACUUAUUUUUACCUUUUGUAUGCAUGGGACAGGGACUGUUGUCCCCACUUGGCUACACUUGAACAAGACUAUAUACCUUUGGAUUCCUGGUACCCUUUUUUUUUUUUUUUUAAGAAAAAAACUUGAUAAUGUAUUCUAUUUACCCAAAUAAACAAAGGGUUAAUAAAUUAGAAUAAUGUAUCUUCUAUAUUAGAUCGAACUUAGAAAGACAAUUUUAGUUGUCAUUCUGAUACAAAGAUUUAACAAAUUUUAUGUGUGUAUAUACAUAUAUAUAUAUAUAUAUAUAUAUAUAUAUAUAUAUAUAUAUAUAUAUAUAUGGUUUUUUUUUUUUUUUUUUUUUUUGAGACGGAGUCUCACUCUGCUGCCCAGGCUGAAGUGCAGUGGCAUGAUCUUGGCUCACUGCAAGCUCCACCUCCUGGGUUGACACCAGUCUCCUGCCUCAGCCUCCCGAGUAGCUGGGAUUACAGGCACCCGCCACCAUGCCUAGAUAAUUUUUUUUGUAUUUUUAGUAGAGACAGGGUUUCACCGUGUUAGCCAGGAUAGUCACGAUCUCCUGACCUUGUGAUCUACCCACCUCAGCCUCCCAAAGUGCUGGGAUUACAGGCGUGAGCCACCACACCCAGCCUUUUUUUUUUUUUUUUUUUUUUUUGAGAUAGGGUCUCGCUCUUUCUCCCAGGGUGGAGUGCAGUGGUGCUAUCUCCGCUCACUGCAACCUCUGCUUCUGGACAAAUUAUACUUUUUAAACUGCACUGACUUAUACAACAGUCUUUUUUUUUUUUUUUUUAAGACAGGGUCUCACUCUGUCUCCUGGCUGGAGUGCAGUGGCAUGAUCACAGCUCACUGCAGCUUGACUUCCUGGGAAGCUCACCUGAGUAGCUAGGACAACAGGCACAUACCACCACAGCCAGCUAAUUUUUCUAUUUUUUGUAGAAGUGGGGUUUCACCAUGUUUCCCAGGCUGGUCUCAAACUCCUGGGUUCAAGUAAUCACCCUGCCUUGGCCUCCCAAAGUGUUGGGACUACAGGCGUGAGCCACAGCACCUGGCCUUAUGCCAACAAAACUCUUAUGAGUAAAACCAUUAUUAAGGUCUGUAGUAUCAGAGACCUCAAAAUGUGAAUAUACAGCAUAUGAUUUACUACAUCAUUUAAUAAAUGUCUGUUUAUUUCAGUAAUGGGAGAAUAUCACUUUUACUUUGAUAAUAUAAGGGUAGAUCAAAAGUUUCAGAUAUGUAUGAGAAAAGCCAGAUUAUAUUUUUAAAUGCUAUAUGUACUCUACAUCUCUUUCAUAAUGGAAUAGGAGAAAGAUGUCCUGAAAAAACUGGCAACAGUGGAUAGCCUCAGAGUUCUAAAUUAAUCAAAAUAUCUCAGGUUUCUUUCAUUCACAUAAUCUUUCUUCUGUGCUUAUGAUCUCAGUGGGGUUUCUUGGAUUCUGAGAUAAUGUGCCCCUUUGCUAUCUAGAAUGUGUAUGCCAUAGAAAUACUGGAUAGAGGUAGGAUCAGCAGCUAAUCUAUGAGAAAUUUUGUAUGAUUAGACACAAAAAAUUGAAUGCUUAUCCUACCGUCCAGUAAAAAAUAUUUUUCGGUGUCCCCAAAAAUAGCAAUUUAUUAAUGGAAAAAUAUAAUUUUAUCACUACCACUUUUUAAUGCUACAAGUUUCUCCAGGAGCAAAGGAUAAGAAGAAAAAGAGAAAUUUUAAUAAGUUAUUAUUAUUAUUAUUUUUGAGACAGUCUCGCUCUCUUGCCCAGGCUGGAGUGCAGUGGCUCCAUCUCAGCUCACUGCAACCUCCGCCUCCCGGGUUCAAACAGUUCUCCUGCCUCAGCCUCCCAAGUAGCUGGGAAUACAGGUGCACACUGCCACAACUGGUUAAUUUUUUUUUUUUUUUUGAGGUGAAGUUUCAUUCUUGUUGCCCAGGCUGGAGUGCAAUGGCGCGAUCUCAGCUCACCACAACCUCCGCCUCCCGGGUUCAAGCAGUUCUCCUGACUCAGCCUCCUGAGUAGCUGGGAUUACAGGCACCUGCCACCACGCCUGGCUAAUUUUGUAUUUUUAGUAGAGAUGGGGUUUCUCCAUGUUGGCCAGGCUGGUCUCAAACUCCUGACCUCAGGUGAUCUGCCCACCUCGGCCUCCCAAAGUGCUGGGAUUACAGGUGUGAGCCACCGCGCCUGGCCACACCUGGCUAAUUUUUUGUAUUUUAGUAGAGAUAGGGUUUCACUGUGUUGCCCAGGCUGUUCUCGAACUCCUGAGCUCAGGCAGUCCGCCCGCCUCGGCCUCCCAAAGUGCUGGGAUUAUAGGCGUGAGCCACCACACCCGGCCAAUAAGGUAUUAUAAUGGCAGAAUGUGGUUGAAGUGAAUCCAAAUAAGGAUAAUAAUAGUUCCUACUUCACAGUAAAGUUUUGAAGAUUAAAUCAGAUAACAUGUCAAAUAUUUAAUACUUUGCUGCUAUUCUUACUGUGUGAAUAUGUACAAUAUGAUACCUGUUUGUAGGCAGCUGAUAUUUUGUGUUACUGUUUGCAUUAAUUUAACAUUAAUGGGUAAAG